Ailuropoda melanoleuca (giant panda) is the source of this 709-nucleotide RNA transcript. RefSeq lists it as uncharacterized. NCBI's taxonomy places the organism in Eukaryota, Metazoa, Chordata, Mammalia, Carnivora, Ursidae. The record is from RefSeq and is a predicted model, not a curated record. The transcript has 4 exons.
ACUCGCAAUCGGAAGUUACUGUUGAAGCUAAGGCAGCCAUAACUGAUAAUGGCAGGGAGUUUCCUGACCUCCCGUCUCCAGUGUGACGUAGUUUUCCCUUCGCCCAAAUCUCACCGUUGCCCUGGGCAACAGUCGAGCCGUCUGGGAAGAUAAAUCUUUCCUUCUGUAGGCUUGAGUCAAGAACUGUAAAUCAUCUUGGUAAUACUGGGUUGGAUGCCUAACGUUGCCGGGAAAAAGAGCGGGAGAACUUUCAGGAAGAAACUUAGCUGUAUCCACCAAUUCAGAUAUGGCAGAAGUGAAGUCAAUGUUCCGGGAAGUUCUUCCAAAACAAGGGCAGUUGUCAGUGGAAGAUAUAACCACAAUGGUGCUGUGUAAACCCAAACUUUUGCCCUUAAAAUCUCUGAGUCUGGAAAAACUGGAGAAAAUGCAGCAAGCAGCCCAGGAUACGAUUCGCCAACAAGAAAUGGCAGAAAAGGAAAAACAGCAAAUAACUCACUGAAUGAUAACUCAGCACUUCUACAGAAUACCCUGCCUUACUAUUAACAAUAGCUAGACAAUAAUUUGCAUCUGUAUGCUGAAGAUGGUGUAUGUUAAUAAAACUGAUAGUGCUUAUAAAUAAUAUAAAAAUACCCAACUAAUGAAACUUGUGAAUUUAGACACUGGUUUGUAUUGAACACGAGCAAUUAAAAAAUUUUGAACACAAAUUUUA